RNAcentral lists this long non-coding RNA (1340 nucleotides) under Nicotiana tabacum (common tobacco). Its description in RNAcentral is "long non-coding RNA (NTAB_LNC014512)". The record is from RNAcentral. Lineage: Eukaryota; Viridiplantae; Streptophyta; Magnoliopsida; Solanales; Solanaceae.
GGAGUUUUAUGUCAUAUCUGUUGCUGUGUCCAUCUAUUUUAUAUCAAGCUGAAAAAUAUAAUUUAGUCCCAGCGUCUUAUUUUGUUGGCAUCUGUUAAUACCCUUGAUUUCUAUUAUAUUUGUCAAUCGUUUGACAUUAAAAGGUCGGUUAUAUUAUAUUUCGUUAAUGCUAUUUUUGUGGAGAAUUGUUGAGUGAAUUAUGAGUGCGUACCCAAAACUAUCAGAAUGGAAAUUGACUUAAUUGAAUUACUUGCCGAAAGGACAGAAGCUGCCUAAGUAUUAUAUUUGGUCUGUCUUUGUUUUAUGUGAUGUUUGCUAAGAAUUUAUUACAUUGUUUGAUUUAGUACCUUUUGUGUUGAGAUUGUAUGAAGUCAUAUGCAGGUUGCCAUUAGACUCUGAUGAUGUCUUGUGUAUCUGUUUUAAUUUGGCAUUAGUCCCACAGUAGUAGUAUUCUCGCUCUUUUGGUCUUCUUUUCUCUUUUUAGCAUCCAAUCUAACGCCCUUUGUUCUUUACUUCUUUAUUUCAAUUAUUUGAACCCUAGUGGCUGGACUAAUUAUUGCAAUCCGAGUAGGCCCACUAAGGGGUAUGAUCCUACUGAAAUGUUCAUCAUCUACUUAAUCUACUUAAUGGUAAAUAUGGAUAUUAAGCGUUCCAACGGUCCAUGUUCUAUGUUUUUGUUAACUGGGAAUUCAGAUAGAUUAUUUGGUGAGAUCCCUAACCUUUUAAAAUUUUGGUAGGUGGAUAGUUCUAUCUCACACUGCUCUCUCUAACCCCUUUUUAAUGAUAAGAAAUUUAAAAUAAAGAAAACAAAUUCUUAUCAAACUCUUUUAAUUCCUAAAGUGUUCAACAAUUAUACGUGUUGUUCAGCUUAUUAGCUGGCAAAGAGUUGCAAAUCAAACCCGUCAAUAGAAUGGAGGACAAAUACUCAAGCCUGUACCUGCUAUUUUCACCUAACCAUGUAUAACAUGGAAAUCUUACACUUUUGACCUUUCUUGGUCUCAUAUUAAUUGUUUGUUUAUUUUCUUACUAAAAAGGAUAUUAUUAUCUUCAUACAUGGCAGCUGUAUCCAUAACGAAUAUGAUAUGACUAAUGUAUGUUUCCAAGAACUUUGCAAGAAUCUUCCUAUUUAUAAUGUAGCUGUGUCUUGCAGACUUAUGUUUUCCCUCAAAACUUGGUUGUUAAUAGUCGACCUUUAGCUGAUCUUUCAUUGUCAUUUAUCCCCUUCAGAGAAAAAUUCAUGUCUUUCUGGUGCUACGAGUGAGAGAUUCAUUCAAUCUCAGUACUUUGGCUGCUUGAAGGUCCAUUUUCAACUCCAUAAAUUGUCUUCAUUGAAUCAGCGG